UUUCCGUAGGUGAACCUGCGGAAGGAUCAUUAAAGUUAUAGUCCCCCGGCCCCUCCGGGCUGGGGUCUUCUAUACCACCCUUUGUUUAUUACACCUUUGUUGCUUUGGCAGGCCUGCCCUCGGGCUGCUGGCUCCGGCCGGCUCGUGCCUGCCAGAGGACCUAAACUCUGUUUGUAUAUGAAGUCUGAGUACUAUAUAAUAGUUAAAACUUUCAACAACGGAUCUCUUGGUUCUGGCAUCGAUGAAGAACCAGC
This 254-nucleotide unclassified non-coding RNA is filed under the name plant metagenome. RNAcentral's name for it is "partial contains small subunit ribosomal RNA, internal transcribed spacer 1, and 5.8S ribosomal RNA". The record is from RNAcentral.